CCCUACGGGGGGCAGCAGUGGGGAAUAUUGGGCAAUGGGCGCAAGCCUGACCCAGCAACGCCGCGUGAAGGAAGAAGGCUUUCGGGUUGUAAACUUCUUUUAAGGGGGAAGAGCAGAAGACGGUACCCCUUGAAUAAGCCACGGCUAACUACGUGCCAGCAGCCGCGGUAAUACGUAGGUGGCAAGCGUUGUCCGGAUUUACUGGGUGUAAAGGGCGUGCAGCCGGGACUGCAAGUCAGAUGUGAAAUCCGCGGGCUUAACCCGCGAACUGCAUUUGAAACUGCGGAUCUUGAGUACCGGAGAGG
RNAcentral lists this ribosomal RNA (305 nucleotides) under uncultured bacterium. Its description in RNAcentral is "bacterial SSU rRNA". It matches the Rfam family "Bacterial small subunit ribosomal RNA", at positions 337 to 657 of the family's 1533-position model. The record is from RNAcentral.